CAGGAAGACUCUGGGUGUCAAAAGGCCCAGCACAUCCCUGGCGCACAAGGAAUCCAAGAGAGUGCGGAAGGUGGAGAGUGAGCCUGGUCCUUUGCAGAUCACAGAACAGUCUUGCAAGGACCAGUCCAAAGUCAAGAAAGCAGUGAAGCCAAAAACCACAGACAAGUAAGACCUGAAGCCAGCAAUUCACGAGCCCUCUGACAACAGGAAGGACAAGGGCUCCCAUCUUGUGGAGCCAAAAAGACUUUUGGACCCCGAGCUCCUGGGAGAUCCUCCAGAACGUGACGCCCUCAUCCCCAGUGGCGACAGCCCUGGGGAUUUGCAGAAGGAGAAGGUGCCCUUGUCUCCUGGAGAGAAGUUGCUCUCAUCUACAAGGAAGCCAGACUUGAAGAGGAGAGCCAUGACGAGUCCUGAGGAGUCCCCUGGAGAGAAGAAGGAAAUCCCAACUCAGAGCCUGUACCCCAGACAUGAGCGCAGUCUGGAAGGAGAAGUCAUUGACAGCAGCCUUGUGGAGAAGCUGCUGAAUGGUUCCUUGUCUGUCUGCACUCUGGGAGGGACACAAGAAAGUCCUGGGAUGCUUCUGGCUGCCAGCAGGCACGCUGUGGGUAAUGCUAAUUGAUAAGGGCACUUUCUUUUACAUUUUCUUGACUCGUAUCAAAUGAUUCGGAAGUUUCUCAUUCAGGUGAGCUGAUGAUUUGCACACUUGAUGCUUUAGAACCGAUGCUCUAAAACCUAUGAAAGGUUUUCAUUGAUUGACUCUCUUCCUUCAUGCUUCCUGUUCUUCUGGAAGACAAAGGCAGCAAUUUUCACUACGUUUUUACAAUUUCACGCCUCUCAGUUUCUUGUUAAUACCAUCAGAAGCUCCUGCACAUCUGGGGUAUCAGAGGGAUCUCACUCACCUGUGACCGUAGUUUUUCCUUCCCAUUGAUGGGGGGUAUCCCAAAACAGAUAUGCUUACAGGUCCUGACUUUGCCACCAGGAGUCUGAAAAUAUUUCUGUACAGUCAAGACUGAGUGGGGAAAAAAAGGCCCACCCAGAACAGAUGAAAUGUUUAUUUUCAGCAAUGGAAGGGCCUUACAUUUUAUUACAAUUAUCAAGGAGGUGUUCAGGAGAUCUAUCCUUGCCAUUAGAAAACAUAUCAUCUAUCCAAGUAAAAGAAGGUGAAAUGUCAUUUUCGGUUACUUGCCAGUGGACGUGAAAUCCCUGCCUGCUGUGCUUGGGUUUCCACUUUGUGAGUUCCAGUGCAUAAUUUUUUCUCUUUUCAACCAGAAUCUUUCAAACUGAGCUGUACUGGUCUCUACUUUAUUUGAACUUCUGGGACCUGAGUGAAUUUUUUCCUGCUUUCUUUGUUCCUGUCAGAGAGAAGACAACGGGGAUGUUCCCAAAAAGAAAAAGAAAUGAAAAGAAUCCCAACAGAUGUCAACUUCCAGCAAGUAAAGGCACCAAUAAACUGAAGUGAGUAUGCA
This 1466-nucleotide long non-coding RNA is filed under the name Parus major (Great Tit). Its description in RNAcentral is "lncRNA (ENSPMJG00000008321.1)". Lineage: Eukaryota; Metazoa; Chordata; Aves; Passeriformes; Paridae. The record is from RNAcentral.